AUCGAAACGAAAAUAAAAUCGUCCUUCAUUCUUCUCCGGUCAAUCUCCGUAGAAUCUGUAGUUCCUAUUCGGUAGCUGAUCUCAGUGUUAGCUGCAGCAAACGCAACUACCUAUGGUGACAGUGUUUGAGGUGGAGCCGCCGAGCCCGUUGAGGUACGUGAUUGGAGCCGCCAUCAUGAUGGCCGGCGUCGUUUUGCCUCUCGGCUACAUGAUGUUCCGCAACAAGCGUGUGCCUUCCUCUUCUUACUCCAAACAGACGUAGGAACAAGGUUUUGAUAUAGAGGUGUGCAAGAGGAAACUCAGGAAAGUGUCAAAAGCUUCUUUUUAUGCUUUGAUGGGGGGUAGCAAAGAGGUGGGAGGAGAGCUCUGCUGCAUAUUCUUGUAAAUGCAUUAAAAUCCAUAUUGUAGUGUGUUCAAUUGAUUAGACAUUUCAAUGGAUAUGGGUGUUGAUUCCUAGAGUUUUAGUUUGGUUCUGUUUUCAUGACUGGGGUCACACGAUGGCUCUUACUGCUACUGAUCAAAUAAGAAAGAAAGGAAUUAUUGAUGUUUAACCGUGAA
Molecule: long non-coding RNA, 558 nt
Organism: Ipomoea nil (Japanese morning glory)
Lineage: Eukaryota; Viridiplantae; Streptophyta; Magnoliopsida; Solanales; Convolvulaceae
Exons: 3
Source: RefSeq, a predicted model, not a curated record